UAGAAGUAGCACUAUAUUAACUCCAGCAGUUCAGUCCAUUAGUUGCUCAUUCUAGUUUCCUAAAAUCAUCACCAACUGAAAUGCAGGGAUUAGGUAGAAAAAAAAAAAGGUUAAUAAAAUGGUUGAGAUGUGAUCAAACUUGAAUCAGAGUCUUCACAAAUCUUGUCAAGCAAUCUCAGAUUGUUAUUCAAAUCCACCACUUAAACCUAAACACCACAAAUUCAUGUAUUGAAUGCAUCAGCUCUCAGGCACCAGAUGUUAGCCAUCUACAAAAUCUGACUCCCCAAUGCAAUGAAUUUCCCCAAAUCCCUCUGUGUUUGAGGGUAAAUCUUGGGAUUUUUCUAGGUCUGCCUCUUAAAUGUUUUCACAGGCCAAUGCAUUUUAGUAAGAUAGAGGGGUGACCUCCCAGCGAAAAUUCCUAUCAGAUGCUGAAAGAUGAUCUGCAACUUUUCCCCCCCACCUUUAAAAAAAAAAAAAAAAGAAAAGAAAAAAAAGAAAAGAAAAGCCUAGUUAGCUCCCUCCCACAGGCACCCACGUGUCUCUAUUUACUCUGCUCUGAUAGCUUACUGUACUAACAAGGCGUUCGAGCCGAAGGAGCCCCUAAGCAAAGAACAAGUUUGAUAAUGCACAGCACAUGGCUCCAAAAAGGGGGUUUUAUCUCAAGACGGGCUGGAGCACACGAGACAGACCGGGAGAGAGCCGACGCGGCCGUGCUGAAUCAAUCAUCCCGGGUCUCCCAACAGUGUGCGCCCAAAGUUGGGGGCAGAUCAAAGAACCGCCGGCCCUGAAUGAAGUAGUGCCAUUGCCCAGGCUCUGCACACAUCUCUCCGGUUUGCAAAGAAGGUCUAUUAACCCGAUCCAGGACCCUGCAGAACCAGAGAGGCCAGGCUGGAAUCAAGGUGCUUCAGAGCCCUAUAAUGAGCAAAACCGUGAAAAGGCGUGUUGGUCUUCCCUGGCCGAAGUCUCUAGAGCUGCCCCCUCCCAAGAUCCCUGAUCAGUGGGUCUCUGAACACUUCGUUGGCAUCAGGAACUGCACAGCAGCUGGCUGCCCUGCCCUCGGACCCCCUUACCUCAUGCCCAUUGCUGUUGGGGGUGAUCUCUGACUCGUUAACGAGAGAGGACUUGAUGUCGGCCAAAUCUCCUUCUUCCUCCGGGUGGCUGAUCUCCGCGAAGAUUUUCUCCUUCUGGGGAUCGCCUUCGUCUUUGAAAGGGAUCAUUUCAUCUGUGGCGCACAGCUCCGGAUCCCCCCCACCGCCUCCUCCGGCUCCCGGCAGCUGAGGCAUAAUUGCUCUUUAAUUCCUGCUCCGCCCGGGGAACAAUAAUAAUAAAAAGGAAGAAUAAUAAUAUUUAUUACGUCUUUACGAGCCGCUUGCCCUCGCUACUCUAAGCCUCCCCCUCUCCAUCCUACCCACCCCCCUCUUCCCGAAAGAGAGUAGAGGCCAGGCGGGCAUAGCCACCGGGGGAAAGGAGGGUCUGUCUGACUUGUCGGUCUGUCUGUCUGCUGCUGGGGGCGGGGGGUUACAUACACUUCCCCCCUCCCCCGGUUUCCGUUGUGUCUGCAAGAGGACAGAAGAGUUUGGAGAAGUUGGGGCCCUUCUGGAUCUGCUUUUAUCUUCUCCGGGGCUUCUUUAAAAGGAGAGGCUCCCCCCUCCCCGGUUCCCAUUCCCCCGCAAGCUACAGGGGGAGAGAAGAUCCCGCGAGCUCCAGCUCGUGCAGCAGCCAGAGGGGCGAGCCCGCUGCCUGGCAGAGCAGGAGCGUUCGCUGCAGCCCUGGCCCGCUGCCUCUCCGGUUCCAGCGCAGCCCCGGCGCUCAGGCUCUCCUUUCUUUGGGGGAAGGGGGCUACAAAGUUCGCCUCUAAAGUUAAGGGGGGGUCCCCGCCGGCCAGUCAGGGAGGUGGGGAAGACGAAGGAGGCCCGGAACGCGCUUCCACCGCCGGCUCGCAAUAACCGCCCCACGCGCAAAGCCAAACCCACCGAGACUCUUUGCUUUUGUCCUCUCCCGCCCGAGCUCUCCCCGGAGCGCCGCUCUCGCCUCUUCGCCGUGCCCGGCUGGCCCGGGCGGCGCGAGAGCCACGAGGAAAAGCAAAACCCCGGGCGCGGGUGUUGAAAUCACGGCGCACGCGGGCGGCGCGAGACAGGAAAAGUUCCCUCUCUCUCUCUCGGGGAGUCCCAGCGGACCAAGGCUCCUCCGCAUUCACAACCCCUAAAGGGUGCCAGCCCAGCCGCCGAGAGCCGCCCGCUGCAGGCCGGGGAUGGAGCACCCCAUGGAGGAGAGACACCCGGCAGCGGCGGCCCCUUUUGCCUCCCCCGGUGCCGCUGCUUCCUGGCUUUACGGGCGCCACCAGCAAUCCACACGCGCGCGGUCCCAGGGCACCGUCUCCCGCCUCUCCUGGGCUGGCCGACGGGAAGGUGGCGAGGCGCGGCUGGAAGCCUGUAGGACGAGUUCCCGUGGCCCGUGCGCGUCUCUCUCUCCCGGGGCAGGGGCAGGCAGAAAGUGGAGAGGGACGGACCGAGCGCGCCCGCCAGAGCGAAGUGGGAGCCAGUCUCUGUAAUGUAACUUUAACAUCCCCUCCACCCACUCCGCCCCCCGCCCCCGCCUUCUCUCUGUGGACUGGGGGGGGGGGAGAUGAAAGAGAAGCCGCCGCUCUGAUUGACAGCACAUUGAUAGACACUCUGGAGAGGGAAGGGAAAUGGAUCCGCGCCGCAGCCCGGCUUAGCUAGCUCGAGUGCGAGCCGCCAAGCAGCGGAGAGAGCUGCUGCAGCCUUCUCGUUAAAUACAAAGAAGUCGCCUCGGCUGUCACAAGCCAGUAACGAGGAAUCGGUAAAGCGAUCGAUUCGUUCAGUUCCAGGGCAGAAAGGGGGGGAGAGGAUAGAAAGUGAAGCGAUCUGGGGGGAGGGGAGAGGGACACUUUUUUUAAAAAAAAAAUCUGUCUUUUUUUUUGAAAGUGCAGAACUACUGCAUGAUGCAGACCUUCGGUAGCCUGCAUUUAGCCAGUGAUGAUUUUGCAAGUUCUCAGCAUCUUGCGGUAACACUGAUUAUUUCUAUAAUGCAGAGCCGCCAAGGGCGGGGGGAGGCUGUGAAGGGAAUUACUACUCUAGGGGGUGGAGGUUUAUAAUUCACCCAAAACGGAACACACACACCCCGAAGAGGGCAAAGAAUAGCUAUCUAAACAUCCCCAGACAAAUCUGUAACAAGGAUGUGUUUAGGAUGCUUUGUUAAGACUUCCCCUUUUCCGAGACAAGGGGGGAUGCACACGCAUUAGAUUGUUCGCAGGGGGAAAGGGAAGCUAAAUAUUUUUUAAAAAAAAAUUUGCAGUAAUUUCAGAUGAAGGGCAGAGUUAUUAGAUCGUCAUUAAACAUAGCAAUCCAGCAACUGACGAAGAGAAGUACCUGGCUAGUAGUCCUUGGACAGACAAUGAGAUAAACAGGUAUCAGGGGCUCACGUUUCAAGUCAUCAAAAUAAACUCUAAUAAAAAUUUUAGGAAUAGCAAGAGACAAUCAACUCUCCUCCCUAUCCCAUUCAUUUAGAAUUUUUAUUGUUAGCCCUAUGUAUUAAACAGCAUCCAGGGUAUCUGUAUAAAACACCCAGCGUUCAGGGCAUUUGGAAAUGUCAUUAAUAUGCAUUUACUCUGAUUAUCCUAUCUAUGUGGUGUCGUAAACACAUGUUGUGCAGGAA
Long non-coding RNA from Chelonia mydas (Green sea turtle), 3675 nucleotides. RefSeq lists it as uncharacterized. The transcript is spliced from 2 exons. NCBI's taxonomy places the organism in Eukaryota, Metazoa, Chordata, Testudines, Cheloniidae. The record is from RefSeq and is a predicted model, not a curated record.